GGAAGUAGACUUGGUAAUGACAUAGGGUCCCUUGUUACAGGGCAUAGAAGAGGAGGUGCCAGGGUAAGGUUUUAGUGACAACACAAUAUAUUGAAAUAGACCGUUGGUAUAUAAUCUUCCUGUCAUUUUAUUCCAUCCAUCCCAACGAGACUUUCGGCGGGAAAUUCGAAAUGACAUUUCCAGAUUUUCUGGUUUUUUUUUCUUUUUUUUUGUCUUUGUUAGUCCACUCCCACUCACUUAUAGCUUGUUAGUACAUAUCACUCAGUUUAAAAUUCGGGGAUACGGUGAAUAGCUCCUCUCCCCAACCAUUGUUU
This 314-nucleotide long non-coding RNA is filed under the name Capsella rubella. RNAcentral's name for it is "long non-coding RNA (CRUB_LNC003378)". Lineage: Eukaryota; Viridiplantae; Streptophyta; Magnoliopsida; Brassicales; Brassicaceae. The record is from RNAcentral.